This 440-nucleotide ribosomal RNA is filed under the name uncultured bacterium. Its description in RNAcentral is "partial 16S ribosomal RNA". It matches the Rfam family "Bacterial small subunit ribosomal RNA", at positions 338 to 795 of the family's 1533-position model. The record is from RNAcentral.
CCUACGGGAGGCAGCAGUGGGGAAUAUUGCACAAUGGGGGAAACCCUGAUGCAGCGACGCCGCGUGAGUGAAGAAGUAAUUCGGUAUGUAAAGCUCUAUCAGCAGGGAAGAAAAUGACGGUAUCUGAGUAAGAAGCCCCGGCUAACUACGUGCCAGCAGCCGCGGUAAUACGUAGGGGGCAAGCGGUAUCCGGAUUUACUGGGUGUAACGGGAGCGUGGGCGGUAGAGCAAGUCAGGAGUGAAAGGCGCGGGCUCAACCCCAGGACUGCUCUUGAAACUGGACGGCUAGAGUGCAGGAGAGGUAAGUGGAAUUCCUAGUGUAGCGGUGAAAUGCGUAGAUAUUAGGAGGAACACCAGUGGCGAAGGCGGCUUACUGGACUAUAACUGACGUUGAGGCUCGAAAGCGUGGGGAGCAAACAGGAUUAGAUACCCCAGUAGUC